This 78-nucleotide transfer RNA is filed under the name Rhizocola hellebori. RNAcentral's name for it is "tRNA-Asp". Lineage: Bacteria; Bacillati; Actinomycetota; Actinomycetes; Micromonosporales; Micromonosporaceae. The record is from RNAcentral.
GCAAGGUAUGGCGCGGUGACGAACGCCAGCGGUGUCAUCGCCACCGCCAUCAUCUGGUUCAUCGCCAGCACCCUGCCC